Molecule: long non-coding RNA, 321 nt
Organism: Schistocerca serialis cubense
Lineage: Eukaryota; Metazoa; Arthropoda; Insecta; Orthoptera; Acrididae
Exons: 3
Source: RefSeq, a predicted model, not a curated record
GACGUCGAAAGACUUCGAGUCACCUUUUCACUUGAGCAGUUUUUGCCAGGAGCAGAAUAUGUAAAGGAACACCGUCCUGUGCUACUCUCCUUCUGAAUGUUCCUAGCGGCAGCGAUUGCACUUCUUGAGGCAGUGAAUUGAACAUCUUUAGGGCAACCACUGGAAAGCUGUCUUGCGAUCCCGUCAGUUGACACCUGGGUAUUUCGGUGCUCCUCUUGUUACAGAUGGGAAGUGAGCUGUUGCGCUCGUUAUGUCCUCUACCACCUCAUCCUGUUUGAGAUGAUCGAGUUCCUGCUUUAUUUGGCUUCAGUGAAAUGUGUG